AUAACCGUGCGAAGGUAGCAUAAUAAAUUGUUCUCUAAAUAAGGACUAGUAUGAAAGGCACCACGAGGGCUUAACUGUCUCCCUUUUCCAAUUAAUGAAACUGAUCUUCUCGUGAGCUUUAAACUUAUCACCAUUUACUUCUUAUUACACCACUGUAUAUAGUAAAAUUUACUUGAUAGUUUUCGGCUGGGGUGACCCUGGAGAAAAACAAAUCCUCCAGGAUGAACGGAAUAAUAAUCCUAAUCAAAGAGCUACAGCUCUAUGAAUCAAAAUAUUGACAGAUUUGAUCCAAUUACUUGAUCAACGAACCAAGUUACCCUGGGGAUAACAGCGCAAUCCAUUUCAAGAGCCCCUAUCGACAAAUGGGUUUACGACCUCGAUGUUGGAUCGGGGUGUCCCAGUGGCGCAACCGCUACUAAAGGUUCGUUUGUUCAACGAUUAAUAACCCCACGUGAUCU
This 458-nucleotide ribosomal RNA is filed under the name Heterixalus andrakata (Andrakata reed frog). Its description in RNAcentral is "partial large subunit ribosomal RNA". It matches the Rfam family "Bacterial large subunit ribosomal RNA", at positions 1942 to 2606 of the family's 2925-position model. Lineage: Eukaryota; Metazoa; Chordata; Amphibia; Anura; Hyperoliidae. The record is from RNAcentral.